This 1051-nucleotide long non-coding RNA is filed under the name Chinchilla lanigera (long-tailed chinchilla). Its description in RNAcentral is "lncRNA (ENSCLAG00000027499.1)". Lineage: Eukaryota; Metazoa; Chordata; Mammalia; Rodentia; Chinchillidae. The record is from RNAcentral.
UGAUUGUGAGGACCGCUGCCCUGAGGGCUGUAUAGCCAGCUGGGUCUUCAUGGAAGAGAAACCUUUCCAGGGAGCUGGGCAGCUUCCAGGGCCACCAGUCCUGUCCUGGCACCAUGCUGUAGAUGUCAUGACCUAAUGGCGGCUCACAGGAAGUGACCUCAUCAGUGUGCCUUUCAAGCCACACAGGAUGGGUCGGAGCCUGACACUGGGCCGGUCGCUCUGGUUUACACCAAAUCCAACCACUCGUGGCCUGCAGAUCCUCAGUAUAAAUAGCUGGAAAAGCCUGACCUUGACAACCUCAUUCUUCAUUCCUUUCUUGUUACAGUUGAUAUAUGAGGCUGCUCAACUCUCUCUCAAGGAUGUUGGGAUUAUCAGUGAGAAAACUUUCAAGAAGUGCUUUGAUACUCUCAGAGAGCCGAGACCUUUACAACAUUGGCAUUGACCGUGAUUCCACCCACCAUCAACCAGGCGGGCCUCCUCCGAGAUACCCUGGUUUCUUCUGGAUAACUAGCUCAGGCGCCCUUGAAACAUAAAUUCUGAAGAUGUUCAUGCAGCAACAGCAGCUCAGGAAGAAAACAUGCUAGCAGCGGAGAUGUGGAUUCCAAGAGACAGAAGCCCUGCCAGGAGACAGACAGGGAAGGGACAAUUAAGAGAUAAACAGAAAUAAUGAGGAUGAAUCCCGUGAAUUCAUGGAGAAGGUUCAGGUGGGCCAGCAGGAAUGGAGGACCAGGGUGGGGAAACUAGAGUUUUGGGGGCCAAGGGACUUAGGGUGAAAAUGACAUUUCUUCCUUAGCAUAGACUUUGCAAAAUUGCAACACAGUGAUAGUUCUCAAGGACUCAGGAUAUCCUUAACGUCGUGGUUUAGAAAAUUUAAGAGCGAUAUGAGAAAGGAGUGAGUGGAUUGGUUUAAUCAGGGGAAAAAAACAGGAAAUUUCCUAAGUUCAUAAACAUCUUUGAUCAACUGCUAUGCAGAACAUGUUUGCUUUCCUUCUGAGCGGGACCAUUGGCUACCAAGCACGCCUUUGACCCACAAUAAAGAGUUACUUCAUGC